CGCCGGGAGGAUGCGCCGCCGCCCGCAGGCCCGGGGAGGCAGACGCGGGGGACGAUGAGGGAGCUGCCCCGGUGGCUCCUGCUCCCGGCCUUCUGCGUCCUGCUCGGCGGCUGGCUCGGACUUCCCAGCUGGUAUGUCUUUUGUAAAGAGAGUCCUGCUUCUUUGUAUGCACCAAAUGAGAAGUCUCCCUUGGCAAACAUGGAUGAAAAUAUCCAGGAAAAGACAGAUAAGGCUACCCAAGGAGGCUUAGAAAAGAGGAAGCAAUCCUCAAAGCACUCUGGUCCCGAGUCUUUUAGAGCUCUGAAGGUCAGUACGAGCACCUUUAAUCCAUUCUGAAAGCAGCUGGCAGCAAGCGUAGUUCUCGGUGCCGGCACAGUGUGUCUAGCAACUGUUCGUGAUUGUGCAUCUACAUUUGGACCAGUUGGGAUUCCGGAGCAGUUUUCAAGGGCAGCCCAAUGUAGAAUACCAUUUUGAUUAGGGAAUAAGGAGACAUCGCUCUUUAGAAAUUAAUGAUGGUUACUUUAUGUCAGGUUUAUAUCAAUUGGGGUUGGCAUAGAAACUCACUGGGCUUUUUAGGACCCGCUUGCCCUGAGCCAUAU
Molecule: long non-coding RNA, 599 nt
Filed under: Varanus komodoensis (Komodo dragon)
Lineage: Eukaryota; Metazoa; Chordata; Lepidosauria; Squamata; Varanidae
Description: lncRNA (ENSVKKG00000013712.1)
Source: RNAcentral